Molecule: long non-coding RNA, 1187 nt
Filed under: Homo sapiens (human)
Lineage: Eukaryota; Metazoa; Chordata; Mammalia; Primates; Hominidae
Description: HSALNT0112155
Source: RNAcentral
UUCCACACUGUGGUGGCUUUGUUCUUUCGCUCUUUGCAAUAAAUCUUGCAGCUGCUUACUCUUUGGGUCCACACUGCCUUUAUGAGCUGUAACACCCACCACGAAGGUCUGCAGCUUCACUCCUGAAGCCAGUGACACCACGAACCCACAGGGAGGAACGGACAACUCCAGACGCGCCACCUUAAAAGCUGUAACACACACCGCGAAGGUCCGCAGCUUCACUCCUGAGCCAGCGAGACCACGAACCCACCAGAAGGAAGAAACUCCGAACACAUCCGAACAUCAGAAGGAACAAACUCCAGACAUGCGGACGUGCUGCCUUUAAGAACUGUAACACUCACCGCGGGGGUCCGUGGCUUCAUUCUUCAAGUCAGUGAGACCAAGAACCCACCAAUUCCGGACACAAUAUGACCUAAUUUGGACCUUAAAAUAUUAUUUUAUUUAAAGUAUGGCUUCGAUGAGGAUAAGAAUGGAUAUGGAGAGAUAAUUUAGGAGGAUGGAUUGUCUGGGAGAGAGGUAAUAGUGGGUCAGCUUAGUGGAAGGCAGGAGAUAAUGAAAACAAUGAUGCACGUGAGACAUUUGGAGGUGGAAAUAGCAGAACUUGCCAACUGUUUGGCUAUGUGGGCCAGGAAGAAUUAUGUAUCAAGGAUGUCCUCCAGGAGUAAUUAAAAUAUGGGACUACAGAAAGGAAGCUGGUGGGUAGUGGUGAUCAUAGGAGCUUGUUAGUUAAUCAGUUUAAGAUGUCAUGAAACAUUUAAUUUGAGAUGUUAACUAAAGACUGCUGUUAGCUUUUGGCAACGUGGAGGCCCUAAAGAAGAGCAUCUUCACCUGACAAGUGGGAUCAACAGUAGACUGCAGUGGGUUGAGGCACAAGUGAGAGAUAUGAGGUUGGGGGCAACAUUUAUUGGACUGACAACUUUUUCCAACAUGGAGCUGUGAAGAUGGCAAGAGAAACAUUUUCUUAAAGGGAUACUGGAGAUGGUGUGGUUUGCCUAUAUCCAGAUCAGCUGGUGGCCAAAUGGCGAAACUUUCUGCCUCUGGAGAAGACAUCCGUAGAACUGGUGCCAUGAAUGAAUGUGAUGAAUGCAACUUGAGAGCCAAGUCAAAAGACAUUCUCCAUUAGUCAUCUAUUCACAACUCUGGUUCCAUAGAUAAUCAAGUGGAGCUGAAUCUUUCCUUGAAAGCUU